AAUCAAGGUAAACCUUGAGGGAGAAAAGAAAGAGUGGAUAAAAAGCAGUAGAAGGGAUGGGAAUGUGUUAAAAGGAGUGAAUGCUAAUUAGCUGUAUGCUCUUCCUUCCUCUCAGCCAGCCAUCUGGGCAACAAGAAAGGCUUGCUAAAGUUAAAUAAAUUUAACCCCUUAUCUGACCUGGCAAGGACAAAGUACACUGGCUUCUGAAGAAACUUUUUCUUGGGAGCAAGAUAAACUUUGUCCCAUGUAAAGAGGAAAACUACAUAGAUAUUCAUGGAGAUUAUCUGAUUUGUCACUGUUGCCAAAGAAAAAACAAAGGUAAAAUACAUGAAUUUCUGCAUUCAGAAGAAAGUACUUCAGGUAAAAAUUAACUAUUAAGCAACUUUUCUCAACAGAAGAAAUGCCCAAAUUCUUAAGGACAGCCAAGUUGUGAGUCAGAGAGCUAGUGUUAAAACAGGUAUUUUUAAAUACAUGUAUGAAUUACCUCCUUACAUUACUUUAUUCUUGUGUUUUUAGCAACUGCCAAAAACAAUUACAAGAAAUGAAAUAAUGUCCUGAGCUGCCACAUGAUAUUUUUUAAAAUCUGCAAUUUUAUUCUUGACAAGUAACAUACACUACAUGCUUUUGUGUGCAAGUAAUGCUCAGAUGUUUGAUAACGGAGUGAUCUUAAAGAGGAGGCAUCUGUUUUUUGUUUUUAUAAGUAGUUCAUUGCCUAACUACCGAAAAUAGCUGCAGUUAUUUUAAACAGAUGGUCCCAAGUUAAUAGGGAAGAAAGUAGAAGUGAGUCUAUUUCCCCAGUUUUUAUUUUUACCCCACAAGAAUGGUAAAAAUAAUUAACAGUAUAUAAUUUGAACCAAAUUCUGUCAAAAUGCUUUUUUCUAAGGUACUCUUUCUGAGAGAGGGGGUUUGUAAAUUGAAGUAUUUGAUGUGGUAGAGUUGAAAGCCAGUUUAAUGCUUAAAUUUCUACUUUCUGAUAGCGUUCAUCAAAAUGAUUGCUGCAUUGUUGAAACAGAGCUUUUGAUUUUUAAAAGACAAUUAGAUUGUGGUAAGAUAUUUGAAACCCACUAAAACUGACUUCAAAAAUUUGGAAGUCUUAAGAGGGUGGUAAGUGGUGAUGGUGACAUGUUAAGAGUAGGAUCUUGCCAGAUGAUGAGAAAGAAUAUGGGUUGAUGACAUUAAUAUGUUUGUGAUUUCUGAAUUCCUCAGGAGUCCUAAGUUAAUAGUUGAUAACCUACUCUCUAGUUUCUGACACUGAAGAUAAUGAAUAUUUUCAUAAUGCAACAACGAAUUUGUGUUUAUAAGGGACUCUGAAGAAUGCGUUUGUGUGGUAUACAGAUGCUGUUACUAUACCUCAGUUUGAGCAGAUUACAGUAGUAAGCUGGGCCCAACUACUAUUGUAUAUCGCUCUCCAUCUGUAAAGAAGAUGAAUAGGUGAAGUUUUUCACUUCUGAAAUACUAGGUUGUUAAAGCUUACUAGGUUGUUAAAGCUUACUGAGAUUUUUACUUUCUGUUAGUGAUAGCUGUACCUUUUUCAUGUCUAUGGGCUAUAUUUCCAUGUAUAUGUCCACAAAGUAUCUGCAGUUCUUUGAUUUUGAAUUUUGCAUUUUCUUUACUGUUUCAGUGACUACGCACAACUGGUAGCUCUUGGGCAUUUGUGGACUGUGGGCUGUAAGCCUGCCUACAUAGAAUCUUUCAGUUUUGCUUCUGUCCAAAUUUGUCUACAUGAUAAAUACCAGACUGGCUCAUAUGAAAUGAUAAAAUCGUAGACCAGGGGUAGCAAACUAUGGCCUGUGGGCCUGAUACUGUUUAAGAAGGUUCUUCACAUUUACAAAGGUUUUUUUAAAAAAAAAAAAA
Molecule: long non-coding RNA, 1854 nt
Organism: Cercocebus atys (sooty mangabey)
Lineage: Eukaryota; Metazoa; Chordata; Mammalia; Primates; Cercopithecidae
Exons: 2
Source: RefSeq, a predicted model, not a curated record